Molecule: ribosomal RNA, 301 nt
Filed under: uncultured bacterium
Lineage: Bacteria
Description: partial 16S ribosomal RNA
Rfam family: Bacterial small subunit ribosomal RNA
Source: RNAcentral
CAGCAGCCGCGGGAAUACGUAGGUGGCAAGCGUUGUCCGGAAUUAUUGGGCGUAAAGGGCUCGCAGGCGGUUUCUUAAGUCUGAUGUGAAAGCCCCCGGCUCAACCGGGGAGGGUCAUUGGAAACUGGGAAACUUGAGUGCAGAGGAGGAGAGUGGAAUUCCACGUGUAGCGGUGAAAUGCGUAGAGAUGUGGAGGAACACCAGUGGCGAAGGCGACUCUCUGGUCUGUAACUGACGCUGAGGAGCGAAAGCGUGGGGAGCGAACAUGAUUAGAUACCCGAGUAGUCCCUGUCUCUUAUAC